GAUCAUGGCUCAGGAUGAACGCUGGCGGCGUGCUUAACACAUGCAAGUCGAACGGAACUACUUUAAUGAGAUUCUUCGGAAAGGAUUUGAUUUAGUUUAGUGGCGGACGGGUGAGUAACGCGUGGGUAACCUGCCUCAUACAGGGGGAUAACAGUUGGAAACGGCUGUUAAUACCGCAUAAGCGCACAGUACCGCAUGGUACCGUGUGAAAAACUCCGGUGGUAUGAGAUGGACCCGCGUCUGAUUAGCUGG
RNAcentral lists this ribosomal RNA (252 nucleotides) under uncultured bacterium. Its description in RNAcentral is "partial 16S ribosomal RNA". It matches the Rfam family "Bacterial small subunit ribosomal RNA", at positions 15 to 248 of the family's 1533-position model. The record is from RNAcentral.